GACGAACGCUGGCGGCGUGCCUAACACAUGCAAGUCGAGCGGGGUUGAAGCGAGGGGUAACUCGAACUUCUACCUAGCGGCGGACGGGUGAGUAACGCGUGGGCAACCUGCCUCAAGGAUCGGGAUAACAGCUCGAAAGGGCUGCUAAUACCGGAUAUGCCUAUGGCCUCGCAUGGGGCUGUGGGCAAAGGGGAAACCCGCCUUGAGAUGGGCCCGCGUCCCAUCAGCUAGUUGGUGAGGUGAAGGCUCACCAAGGCGACGACGGGUAGCCGGCCUGAGAGGGUGACCGGCCACACUGGGGCUGAGACACGGCCCAGACUCCUACGGGGGCAGCAGUGGGGGAUCUUGCACAAUGGGCGAAAGCCUGAUGCAGCGACGCCGCGUGAGCGAAGAAGGCCUUCGGUUGUAAAGCUCUGUCUGGAGGGACGAAGAAAGUGACGGUACCUCCGGAGGAAGCCACGGCUAACUACGUG
This 473-nucleotide ribosomal RNA is filed under the name uncultured bacterium. Its description in RNAcentral is "bacterial SSU rRNA". It matches the Rfam family "Bacterial small subunit ribosomal RNA", at positions 28 to 507 of the family's 1533-position model. The record is from RNAcentral.